This 492-nucleotide ribosomal RNA is filed under the name uncultured bacterium. RNAcentral's name for it is "partial 16S ribosomal RNA". It matches the Rfam family "Bacterial small subunit ribosomal RNA", at positions 29 to 507 of the family's 1533-position model. The record is from RNAcentral.
AGUGAACGCUGGCGGUAGGCCUAACACAUGCAAGUCGAACGGCAGCACAGUAAGAGCUUGCUCUUACGGGUGGCGAGUGGCGGACGGGUGAGGAAUACAUCGGAAUCUACUUUUUCGUGGGGGAUAACGUAGGGAAACUUACGCUAAUACCGCAUACGACCUACGGGUGAAAGCAGGGGAUCUUCGGACCUUGCGCGAUUGAAUGAGCCGAUGUCGGAUUAGCUAGUUGGCGGGGUAAAGGCCCACCAAGGCGACGAUCCGUAGCUGGUCUGAGAGGAUGAUCAGCCACACUGGAACUGAGACACGGUCCAGACUCCUACGGGAGGCAGCAGUGGGGAAUAUUGGACAAUGGGCGCAAGCCUGAUCCAGCAAUACCGCGUGGGUGAAGAAGGCCUUCGGGUUGUAAAGCCCUUUUGUUUGGAAAGAAAAGCAGCAGGUUAAUACCCCGCUGUUCUGACGGUACCCAAAGAAUAAGCACCGGCUAACUUCGUG